AGAGUUUGAUCCUGGCUCAGGAUGAACGCUAGCGGCAGGCUUAAUACAUGCAAGUCGUGGGGCAGCGCAGUGUAGCAAUACAUGGGCGGCGACCGGCAAACGGGUGCGGAACACGUACGCAACCUUCCUUUAACUGGAGAAUAGCCCCUCGAAAGAGGGAUUAAUACUCCGUAACAUCACGAUAUGGCAUCAUAAUGUGAUUAUAGCUCCGGCGGUUAAAGAUGGGCGUGCGCCUGAUUAGAUAGUUGGCGGGGUAACGGCCCACCAAGUCUGCGAUCAGUAACUGGUGUGAGAACACGACCAGUCACACGGGCACUGAGACACGGGCCCGACUCCUACGGGAGGCAGCAGUAAGGAAUAUUGGUCAAUGGACGCAAGUCUGAACCAGCCAUGCCGCGUGGAGGAUUAAGGCCCUCUGGGUUGUAAACUCCUUUUAUCUGGGAAGAAAUCCACGAAUUCUUUUGUGGUUGACGGUACCAGAGGAAUAAGCACCGGCUAACUCCGUGCCAGCAGCCGCGGUAAUACGGAGGGUGCAAGCGUUAUCCGGAUUCACUGGGUUUAAAGGGUGCGUAGGCGGGCAGGUAAGUCCGUGGUGAAAUCUCUGAGCUUAACUCAGAAACUGCCAUGGAUACUAUUUGUCUUGAAUGUUGUGGAGGUAAGCGGAAUAUGUCAUGUAGCGGUGAAAUGCUUAGAUAUGACAUAGAACACCAAUUGCGAAGGCAGCUUACUACACAAAUAUUGACGCUGAGGCACGAAAGCGUGGGGAUCAAACAGGAUUAGAUACCCUGGUAGUCG
RNAcentral lists this ribosomal RNA (795 nucleotides) under uncultured bacterium. RNAcentral's name for it is "bacterial SSU rRNA". It matches the Rfam family "Bacterial small subunit ribosomal RNA", at positions 8 to 796 of the family's 1533-position model. The record is from RNAcentral.